Molecule: long non-coding RNA, 355 nt
Filed under: Coturnix japonica (Japanese quail)
Lineage: Eukaryota; Metazoa; Chordata; Aves; Galliformes; Phasianidae
Description: lncRNA (ENSCJPG00005005644.1)
Source: RNAcentral
UGAUUCUGUGAUGACUCAUUUGCGUUCACCUGGAUGGUGGCUGUUGGACACACACUGUGCUGGUUCCUUGGUACUGUCCUUACACCUCUCAGCGGUUCACAUGCCAUCAGUUCACAACUGAACCAGCUCUGAGGCACAGAGAAUGGACUCUCUCAUAUCACAUCAGAAGCUGAAAGGUGAUCCACCCACUUUACGGUCAUUCUGUAGGCAAAACCUGCAAAUGGAUAAUUCUAGGGAUGUAAGUUUGCUUUCGUCUGCACCAAAUGCGUUCAUGCAGCUAUUGACUCACCAGCUCUGCUCUCUGAAGGAUUCUUGCAAGCAACAUCUCCCCGAAUGGUUUCUUCAUAAACACUUC